RNAcentral lists this ribosomal RNA (253 nucleotides) under uncultured bacterium. RNAcentral's name for it is "partial 16S ribosomal RNA". It matches the Rfam family "Bacterial small subunit ribosomal RNA", at positions 524 to 776 of the family's 1533-position model. The record is from RNAcentral.
UACGGAGGGUGCGAGCGUUGUUCGGAAUCACUGGGCGUAAAGCGCGUGUAGGCGGUCUGCUAAGUCUGAUGUGAAAGCCCGGGGCUCACCCCCGGAAGUGCAUUGGAAACUGGCAGACUCGAGUCCCGGAGAGGAGAGUAGAAUUCCUGGUGUAGCGGUGAAAUGCGUAGAUAUCAGGAGGAAUACCGGUGGCGAAGGCGGCUCUCUGGACGGUGACUGACGCUGAGACGCGAAAGCGUGGGGAGCAAACAGG